GAAGGUGAGUUGAGAAGCUUGCUGGAGGUAUCAGAAGUGCGAAUGCUGACAUGAGUAACGAUAAUGGGAGCGAAAAACUCCCACGCCGGAAGACCAAGGUUUCCUGUCCCAUGCUAAUCAGGGCAGGGUAAGUCGGCCCCUAAGGCGAGGCAGAAAUGCGUAGUCGAUGGGAAACGGAUUAAUAUUUCCGUACUUGUAUAAUCAGUGAUGGAGGGACGGAGAAGGCUAGGCAAGCUUGGCGUUGGUAGUCCAAGUGAAAGUGUGUAGG
This 268-nucleotide ribosomal RNA is filed under the name Corethron pennatum. RNAcentral describes it as "partial Bacterial large subunit ribosomal RNA". It matches the Rfam family "Bacterial large subunit ribosomal RNA", at positions 1252 to 1524 of the family's 2925-position model. Lineage: Eukaryota; Bacillariophyta; Corethrophyceae; Corethrales; Corethraceae. The record is from RNAcentral.